This 73-nucleotide transfer RNA is filed under the name Spirulina sp. SIO3F2. RNAcentral's name for it is "tRNA-Phe". It matches the Rfam family "tRNA". Rfam says of the family: Transfer RNA (tRNA) molecules are approximately 80 nucleotides in length. Their secondary structure includes four short double-helical elements and three loops (D, anti-codon, and T loops). Lineage: Bacteria; Bacillati; Cyanobacteriota; Cyanophyceae; Spirulinales; Spirulinaceae. The record is from RNAcentral.
GGGGAGUUGGUGAAGCUGGUGCUCACGUGCCGCUGAAGACGGCGAGAAGAUGGUUCGAUCCCAUCACUUCCCA